Columba livia (rock pigeon) is the source of this 1365-nucleotide long non-coding RNA. RefSeq lists it as uncharacterized. The record is from RefSeq and is a predicted model, not a curated record. The transcript is spliced from 2 exons. NCBI's taxonomy places the organism in Eukaryota, Metazoa, Chordata, Aves, Columbiformes, Columbidae.
CUGCUGAAAUUUAACUAUCUCUGUGGUGAGUUGUAGUUACUUGUUUGGCAAAAGUUCAGCUGGGUAUUUAAGUAUGGACUUUGUUUCUAUUCUUCUUAUACAAAACAGGUUUGCUUGAUGUUAUUUAGCGCACACCGUGCUGCUGUCAGCUAUUGAUUUGGAGCAGGGAAGUUUCCAGCAGGUCAGGUAAAGAGAGAUGAGAGCACUUGAUUUUAAUCCAGGCCUCAAAUGACUUGUUUCCAUUUAUCCUCCUCCUUGAAAGCCUGGCAAUUAUUUAUUACAAAACAAGGAUGGGGAAAAGAAACCCAAACAAAUGGAGGUACAGUAUCUGUGUGAUUGAAGCUGAGGUUUCCAGACAUGACGUGAGACCUUUAAUGGGACUGCAUUAGGAUGUUUAGCCAGAAUGCGAUCGCUGCCUCUCAGCGCAUUGUGAGGUGCUUUGGUGAUGGUGGGGAAGGGGUUGCGGCUUGUUAGCGAUGAAUUGCCAUCCUUGGAGGCACACGAGAGCUUUCAGUGUGGAAAUAAGAAACCUAAGGCAUUCUGAGCCAUAGGCAAGGCGAGCUAAAUUAACUGGCUUCAUUCAUACGCGCUCUGAUUCGGCCUGGGAGCCAGCGUUCGGCCUGUUGAUUAGGCCUGCUGAGCUUGGCCUGAAGAUUUCUUAUUCUCUGCCUUAAACUUACCUCAAAACUCAAGCAUACACCCCACCAGGAGCAGCUGCGUUUUGGUAGCGAGACAUCCAGGAUUACAGUAAGCUGACUUGUUCUGUUUUGAGUGCUGAAUCGGGCUUUUUUUGUGCUAACCAGUCGUUUUUAAGAAGCCUGUUGGGAGCUGGGAGGAGGUCGAAGGCAUGAAGGAAGCAAAAAGUUCACUUUGGUGAACAGGUGUUUUGCACAGGUGUUUGGUGUUACAAGAAACAGGCAAUUUAGAACUCAUCAGAGACCAAAGCUGUGCUUUAAAAAGAACUAAAGGGACACAGCAACUGUUUUGGUGAAUCAGAUCUUCCUGGCUUCGGAGAGUGGGAGUUCACAGUAACCCAGACUGAGGUUUUGUUUGGUUUUGUCUGUGGAGUUUCGCCAAGUUUUAUUUCAUUUCUCGCAACCCAUUAAAGCACAAAGGAGAAAAGGACCCUUUUGAGAGCUGACAUCCGGGUCCUGAAGGCUCCUCUGCAUCACCGACUCCCUCCAAACAUCUCUCUGAAGCUCAGGAUCGUCUUGUGCUCCAGAAAACCUCUGGCAGAGCCAGCCCGUAGCUGUGCCAAGAUGUGAAUUGUGUGGCAGCUCUGCUAUCUGCCAGGAGGGAGAAAUCAUUCUCAGACCUCAGUAGCAAAAAGGGUAUUUCUUGCAAUAAAUUUUGCUAAUGCGUUUA